This is a long non-coding RNA of Dermochelys coriacea (leatherback sea turtle), 3872 nucleotides long. RefSeq lists it as uncharacterized. The transcript has 2 exons. NCBI's taxonomy places the organism in Eukaryota, Metazoa, Chordata, Testudines, Dermochelyidae. The record is from RefSeq and is a predicted model, not a curated record.
CCGUAUAGACCAAGAGGGUCUAUACAUCGCCUCACCCCACCUUCACAAUCCCCGGGCCGUGUGAACGGGACCUGACACGUAGAGUUUCAUACCAACGCCGCCUUUAGUUAUAAUUACGGAAUUUAUUCUCUGCAGGGGUGGACACGGACGGUGAAAGCAAGGUGGGCGAAGGGGUAAGGUAAAGGACCCGCCUUUAAGAGACCUGGGCUGUAUUCUGUACUCUGCCACUGAGCCAAAGCCCACUGGAAUCAAUGGGAGUGUUUCCACUGACUUAUAAUUGCCCAUGUUCUAGGAACCUAGGGCAAUUAUUUCAUCUAUUUGUGAGUAUCUUUCCCCCCCCCCUUCCCCUUUUAAUACAUUGUCCUAUUUAGAAAAUAAUCUAGCUAGGGCAAGGACUGUCAGUGUGUUUGUCUAGUUAACUUUAGAGCACCAGCGUGCUGAUCUGAGAGGAGAUGCCAAGUGGCUCUUGCAUCAGAGAUAAAGAUUAACACCUCCCAUCUCUCCCCAGUGUAGCACCAGAGCCUGGAUGGAUACAAGGGUUAUUUACCUUCUCCUAACUGUUGUUCUGUGAGAUGUGUUGAUCAUGUCAAUUCCAAUCAGGUGUGUGGGUGCUGCGUGCAUGGUAGCCAGAAGAUUUUUUCCCUAGCAGUAGCCGUAGGGUUGGCCUGGGCCCCCCCUGGAGUUACACCCUCAUGGCACUCAAAGUAGGGCCCUGCUGCCCCAACCCUCCUUCAGUUCCUUCUUGCUGGCUACUCAAACAAAGGAGUGUGGGGGGGGGGGGGAAGGUAUUGGAAUGGAUGUGAACACCACAUCUCGAGGAACAGGGUAUGAGAAGGUGAGUAACCGUUUUUUCUUCUUCAAGUGACUGAAAAUGCCAUGAACAAUCAGGUGCCUCCCAAGCCUAAAUUACAGAGGCAGGGUCAGAGUUGUCCACAGAUUGGAGCACCACUCUAGCAAAGGCCGCAACAUCUCUGGCCUGCUAGACUGAUCUGUCCCCUACUAAAAUGAAAAGCAAGAGCUCUAGUUGAAUAGAAUGGUGCAGAAUGUCGCGAUUCCUGUUCCAGGAGGACCAGCUCCCUGUGUAAACUCCUUUUAAUUCAAGAUACUGAAAGCUAAAUCAGAAAUAAUAUUCUUUAUACUUCAGCUGUCUUUACGAGGAAGCAGGAAGCCUGAGACACUGACAUUAAUGGGAGAUAAUUUCCCUGUACCACCUAACUGAUCCUAGGACAUUCAACUGACCAGCACUUCAUGCCUGAAAGUUUUAACAUUGAACUUACCCACAUUUAUAAGUCCCCUGAACCUGGGCAAUAUUCAUAUGACCACUUAAGUUUCUUGCCAGGGCUGUAGGAAUAAUUGGGACAGAUUUCACAGGAGUGUAUUCUAGAGCAUUUGUUAUAGUAACAGCUGCCCAGUGAAAAUCAAAGUUUAGGUUGUCCAUCUUCUCUGCUGAAGUAAUGUGAACUCUUAUGGUGAGCAGUCUGGAAAGAUCCAAAGAGUCUCUACUGCAUAAACUGUGUUGAAGUCCCUAGGAUAUGCAAAAAAACGCUGAGAUUCGUUUUUAUACACCUAAUUUAUACAUGACAAUAGGUAUAUUACAGUAAUGCCUAGGUGCUUCUGUCAUGAAUCAGGGCCAACAUUGUGCCAGGCAUUAUUUAAACACAAAGAAUUGGCCCCUUCUUCAAACAUCUCAUGACUAUAUCGAACAUAGUGAAUAAUAAUAUGAAAUGCAUCCAUUAUAUAUGAAAACGUGUAGUUAGCUAUGUUAAAUUGGAACACGCAAAAAUCUACAAGGGCAAACAGAGGGUCCAAGAAUUAGUUUAUCAAAAACCUAGCAAUAGGACAACCGCUUGCAUCCAAGAAACCCGCAUAACACAAAUGGAUGUAACCACAAGGAGAUUAUUCACUGGAACAUAAAUUGCCUUUUCUAGAUAUGAAAAACCACCCUAUAAAUACAGUCAUAGGGCAAGAGUAGCAGGAAAAAAAAAAUGUUUAGCUGCCCCAGAUUCUCUGCUUCCUUGAACAUCAGCUAUACUUACUGAAGUAUCCCCUUUGGGGAAGACAAAUAUCCCUUCUCUCCCAGAAGGGUUUGGCAAGGAAGGUUUACUUAACCUAGGUUUAAAAUAUUUAAAGAUGUACAGCUCCCAUUUAUAGAGUUUGUAGAAAAGGAAAUUGGUUCAGCUGUAAAGCCUACUAGAUUUACAUUUGUUUACAAGCAAUAGCCUGUUUACACACAUACUCUUAUGAGUUUAGGUACCAUCUCUGUAGUUACUGGUAUACUGUUUCUACACACUAACAUUUUAAUGUUUUUCAUAGUCCAGAUAACUCUCUCAAUACUUUGUGUAUUAAAAGCUGCACAAACAAUACAAGGUGCAACUUGCCCUAUCAAAGAAUUCCUGACAUUUUUGUUUUAAAUUGACUGGGUCCUAAACCAAUCAUACAAACUUGUCUUGGGGUCUGAUCUUAUAAAGACUUAAGCACGUGUUCAGCUUCAAGCACAGGAAUAUUAUUUCUUUAAAGAUGAAUGGCAGAGAAACUCUUAUUGCUUAUGCCUAUUACCAUGCCUUUUGAUGCAAAAAAGAAUGAGGUACUUUUCUGCUUUAUUUUUUAAACCGUGGGGGGAAAAACCAACAUCAUCAUGGCUUGCCUUAUUCAUUUUGCUUGAGGGACCAACUGGAGAAGGAUAAAAAAAAAAAUCCUAACAGACUGAAAUUUAAGAUUAGCUAUCAGACUUCAGUUGAAAUCAGUUUGAAAUACAAUUCUCAAAACAGGAAAACUAAUCAGUGUAAUUAGAUAUCCUGUUCUAUCAUAACUGAAGGUUUGGAAGCUGCAGCUUAUCUUGCGGUCUCUUGUGAUGUAAUUAUUUCAGGUUUCUCCAGCAACAAAGGGUAUGUCUACAUUGCAAUGAAAAACCCACGGCCGGCUGGUGCCAGCUGACUCAGCUUCAUGGGGCUGUUGCAUUACAGUGUAGUCUUUAGGGCUCGGGCUGAAGCCCGGGCUCUAGGGCCCUGCAAGGUAGGAGAUACCAGAACCCAGAAGUCUACACUGCAAUGAAACAGCCCGAGUUGGCUGGCAAGGGCCAACCACAAGUGUCUAAUUGCUGUUUAGACAUACCCAAAGAGGGUUCUUUAGCCCCACCUACAAAAAGCGAAAGGGAAGUAAAGAACUGAUGUUCCUGAUAUAUAUAAACAAAAAAUCCACCCAAAUCAUGCAUGACUUUCUUUAUACACUGUAAAUCAAUCGAUAAAGAGGAUGUAGGGUCUGGAUGGUAUGGGGUUUUUUUUUGGCACUUUGCGGAUCUUUUGAUUUCAAGAGAAUUUACUGUUGAACAUGACCUUGCAAACUGAAAUAAUCAUUCACAAGAAUGAUUUGGCACCAACAGAGCAAGUUCUCCCCAUAUUAUCCCACCAUUCUGGGAGAGAGUUUCAGCUAGGAGCGAAAAGGAGUUUUGUCUUCAUGCUCAUCUUGUCUUAGGAAUUUCUACUGAGACUGCCAGUAAAGGAGCUUAUUGGUGACAAUCAUGAUGUGGACUGAGAACAGCUCACUUCACAUAGGCCAUUAAAUGGUAACCUUCUGGACUUUGCUCUUCUGGUUUGGAUUUAGAUACUGAAAGCCAUCUAGUCUCCUCUCUGUGUCACUGUUUUAAGAGAUAAGAAAGUUGCUAGGAGUGGCUUACCUUAAAAGCUAAGCUGAAGUCUUCAGAACUGUGCACUAUAACAUCUCCGGAGGAAGAUCCCCAAGCGUUAAUUGUACAUGGAAUCAAAAAGUCUCCAGGAAGAGGUGCUGUGGGGACUUUCCCUGAACCAUCAGUUACUUCUCGACCAGGAUCAAAUCUGUCUAUUGUCAGUGAUACACCUUCAUCGUCUGGGGGGCGG